RNAcentral lists this ribosomal RNA (44 nucleotides) under Russula exalbicans. RNAcentral's name for it is "partial 28S ribosomal RNA". Lineage: Eukaryota; Fungi; Basidiomycota; Agaricomycetes; Russulales; Russulaceae. The record is from RNAcentral.
CCUUGACCUCAAAUCGGGUGAGACUACCCGCUGAACUUAAGCAU